This 486-nucleotide ribosomal RNA is filed under the name uncultured bacterium. Its description in RNAcentral is "partial 16S ribosomal RNA". It matches the Rfam family "Bacterial small subunit ribosomal RNA", at positions 28 to 523 of the family's 1533-position model. The record is from RNAcentral.
GACGAACGCUGGCGGCGUGCUUAACACAUGCAAAUCGAACGCUGAAGCACCAGCUUGCUGGUGUGGAUGAGUAGCGAACGGGUGAGUAAUACGUGAGUAACCUGCCCUUGACUCUGGGAUAAGCCCGGGAAACUGGGUCUAAUACUGGAUGCUACAUGUCACCGCAUGGUGGUGUGUGGAAAGGGUUUACUGGUCUUGGAUGGGCUCACGGCCUAUCAGCUUGUUGGUGAGGUAAUGGCUCACCAAGGCGACGACGGGUAGCCGGCCUGAGAGGGUGACCGGCCACACUGGAACUGAGACACGUCCCAGACUCCUACGGGAGGCAGCAGUGGGGAAUAUUGCACAAUGGGCGAAAGCCUGAUGCGGCGACGCCGCGUGAGGGAUGACGGCCUUCGGGUUGUAAACCUCUUUCAGCAGGGAAGAAGCCACAAGUGACGGUACCUGCAGAAGAAGCGCCGGCUAACUACGUGCCAGCAGCCGCCGUAA